This 253-nucleotide ribosomal RNA is filed under the name uncultured bacterium. Its description in RNAcentral is "partial 16S ribosomal RNA". It matches the Rfam family "Bacterial small subunit ribosomal RNA", at positions 524 to 776 of the family's 1533-position model. The record is from RNAcentral.
UCCGUAGGUGGCAAUCGUUGUCCGGAAUUAUUGGGCGUAAAGCGCGCGCAGGCGGUCCUUUAAGGCUGAUGUGAAAACCCACGGCUCAACCGUUGAGGGUCAUUGGAAACUGGGGGACUUGAGUACAGAAGAGGAAAGCGGAAUUCCACGUGUAGCGGUGAAAUGCGUAGAGAUGUGGAGGAACACCAGUGGCGAAGGCGGCUUUCUGGUCUGUAACUGACGCUGAGGCGCGAAAGCGUGGGGAGAAAACAGG